AACGAACGCUGGCGGCAGGCUUAACACAUGCAAGUCGAACGGUUGUAGCAAUACAGCAGUGGCGAACGGGUGAGUAACGCGUGGGAAGAUACCGAGAAGUGGGGAAUAACUCCGGGAAACUGGAGAUAAUACCGAAUACGCCUGAGAGGGGAAAGAUUUAUCGCUUUUCGAUUAGCCCGCGUGAGAUUAGGUAGUUGGUGGGGUAAUGGCCUACCAAGCCGACGAUCUCUAGCUGGUCUGAGCGGAUGAUCAGCCACACUGGAACGGAGACACGGUCCAGACUCCUACGGGAGUCAGCAGUGGGGAAUAUUGGACAAUGGGCGAAAGCCUGAUCCAGCCAUGCCGCGUGAAUGAUGAAGGCCUUAGGGUUGUAAAGUUCUUUCGCCGAUGAAGAUAAUGACGGUAGUCGGAGAAGAAGCCCCGGCUAACUUCGUGCCAGCAGCCGCGGUAA
Molecule: ribosomal RNA, 451 nt
Filed under: uncultured bacterium
Lineage: Bacteria
Description: partial 16S ribosomal RNA
Rfam family: Bacterial small subunit ribosomal RNA
Source: RNAcentral